This 419-nucleotide ribosomal RNA is filed under the name uncultured bacterium. RNAcentral describes it as "bacterial SSU rRNA". It matches the Rfam family "Bacterial small subunit ribosomal RNA", at positions 355 to 787 of the family's 1533-position model. The record is from RNAcentral.
UGGGGAAUAUUGGGCAAUGGGCGCAAGCCUGACCCAGCAACGCCGCGUGAAGGAAGAAGGCUUUCGGGUUGUAAACUUCUUUUAUUGAGGACGAAACAAAUGACGGUACUCAAUGAAUAAGCCACGGCUAACUACGUGCCAGCAGCCGCGGUAAUACGUAGGGGGCGAGCGUUGUCCGGAAUUACUGGGCGUAAAGGGCGCGCAGGCGGCCGAUCAAGUUAGAUGUGAAAUACCUGGGCUUAACCUGGGAACUGCAUUUAAAACUGGUUGGCUAGGAGUGCAGGAGAGGGAAGCGGAAUUCCUAGUGUAGCGGUGAAAUGCGUAGAUAUUAGGAGGAACACCAGUGGCGAAGGCGGCUUUCUGGACUGUAACUGACGCUGAGGCGCGAAAGCGUGGGGAGCGAACAGGAUUAGAUACCC